Molecule: RNA transcript, 2823 nt
Organism: Tigriopus californicus
Lineage: Eukaryota; Metazoa; Arthropoda; Copepoda; Harpacticoida; Harpacticidae
Gene name: G-protein coupled receptor 54-like
Exons: 8
Source: RefSeq, a predicted model, not a curated record
CAGCCUGGGGCUCGAGACCCAACUGGGUUCCACCGGUUCCACCAUUGAAGCUCGGUGGAUGACAGUGAACACAGUUCGUUCGUUGCUCGUCCAACAAUGGCCCGUCGUCACUCGAAAAUGGCCGUGAACCUGACCUUGUUGAACUCGACCAAUGCCUCGUCCGAGGACUAUGUCUAUGACUAUGACAUCGACGAUGCCCUCUAUGACUUUGAUUGGAUGGAGCUGGGCCCGAGUUUGUGCGUGUACUCGAUCACGUUCUUGGCGGGGAUCCUGGGAAACCUCUUGAUUUUGGUCUCUGUGAUUCGUCACACCCACGUGAAGAGCUCACCAGUGAACGUGUUUCUGGCUAGUUUAGCCACGGCUGAUUUGAUGCUCAUUGUUAUCUGUCUCCCAUUGAAGGUUUUCAAGCUCUUUACCUAUACUUGGACCCUGGGAUUGUUCAACUGUAAGCUCUUGUAUUUUAUGCAAAGCGUCUCUGCUAUCGGAUCCGUCAUCAACUUGACUGCGCUCAGUUUUGAAAGGUACUACGCCAUUGUUCACCCUCUCAAGUCUCAGUACUUGUGUACCAUCAGCAAGGCCAAGAAGACCAUCUUAGUGGCUUGGAUCGCAGCCUUCUUUUUGGCCAUUCCCGUUCUUUUCGCUCAAAUUCAUUUGGAAGUGGGCGUUCGCUAUAAGGCCUAUUGGUGCGUUCGUGACAUUGACAACCCGGCCAAAUGGAGGGCCCAAGAGCUCUAUCUGUUGUUGAUCAUCCUGGUGAUCCCCUCGGUGGUGAUGUCGUUCUGCUAUGGUAAAAUCAUCCGAGAAGUCUGCCAAGUGGUUCGACAACGGAGCAAUCUCACCCAAAACUACGGCAAGCCCAGUCUGGAAACAGAGCCUCCCGUUCGAGAUCAAACGGAAGUCAAGGAAGAUUUCACAAGCGUGAUUGAGCGUGAUUCCACGGAGGAUGACGCCAUUGGCGAAGAGACCUCGUUCAGCUUGCGCCCGCCCUCCUAUGAGAACGCCAUGGCCUCUCCCUUGACGCAGACUUCGCACUUCUCGUCCUCCCAAUCCAACUCGAGUCCCACCCAAAGCCAGGGGGGUCGAGGUCGUCAGGAGCGGAGUGGAUCGUCUUUGAAGAAAGUUGCCGCCAAAGUGUUGAGCUCUGUGGACCACAUGGGAUUGUGUGGUCGGAACUCGCCCAAGUUGGAUGAGGAGACCAAACAAGUCGUCAGAAUGCUCAUCUCAAUCGUCGUGUUGUAUAUCGUUUGUUGGGGACCACUGCUCAUUUUCAAUGUUAUGCAGAGUUUUGGGUUCAUCGGGAAGUUUUUAAUUGGAUUCCCAAAGUACCUGAAAACGGCAUUCAGUCUCAUGGCUUACUUCAACAGCUGUUUGAACCCUAUCAUAUAUGGGUUCAUGUCUAGGAACUUCAGGGACAGCUUCAUGGAGAACCUCAGUCUGUUCUGUAAAUGCGCCUCAAGAGAGCAGACUCGUCGAGCCCGCAAUGACAGUUUUGGCCGCUCCUAUUCGUUAAGAUGUCCACCAGUUCACUCGGUGGCAGCGAUCCCAAAACACGUCCCGAGUCGGCCAAAUUACUCGGUCAACGUGUAUACUUCUCCCGGGAAUGAGUACGCUCGCAACUACACCGUCACGUGAGUGGGAGCCUAGGGCGUGAUAUUCGACUCCGGACCGAUUCCUCCAAGAACCUCAAACCUGAUCUUUGACCUAGUAUUCCACCAGGAGAGAGACUACCUUCCUCGUUGACUUGUGUCUACCGUUAAUUGACAACUUGCUUGCCAAAACCGCAACACUAUAACUCAAUUCAACCACCUGACUGCCACAACUUCUUGGGAGACCAUUUUCAUCUUCACGAUUUUUUCUCACUCAGCUUGUCUCCCACUCCCACACAUCUCUUGCUCUGUCGCUUCGGCACGAAAAAAAAAAGAUGCUGUUCCCUAUCGUUUGGACAACCUGUGUCACUUUUGGCUUCUCACUCUGUGAGGAUUUUUAUCCCAAAGCCCUGUCAGGUUCCAUUUUCUAUUCCAGGAGUGAGCUUCCCUCAAGCACUGAAGCUAUGAUGUAAGAGGAUUUUGCAUAAAUAUUCAUUGUUCCACAUGUGUCAAUCUGUGUCCAAAGUCUCAAGUAGUAUUCCUGAUAUUAGCUGAUAUAUGUAUGUAUGUAUAUAUAUACAUAUACUGCCAGAAUGAAGUAUGAUCGCCCCUGACAGCAGAUCUGAAGUAUUCAAACUGCUUUAGAUGGUAAUGAAGGUGUUGUAUUUUGAUCUGGAACCGUGAGUGAACGGAUUCAUAUGGUACCAACAGGCAGCUAUAAUAAAUGUUAUGCCCAUGUUUUAGACGAUGAUCUCCUAGAAAAAAUACAAUAUUUGAAUGGAUUGCCUCCUUCUCGUUUUUUUCAUGUAUUUCCCAUCAACGUCAAGAAAUCCCCAGCUUUCCAAAUUCAGUGGGAGACAAUCAUGGCCAAGAACAAUUAGUAACACAUGACUUGGCAAUCUCAACUUGUCCUGAACCCCUGUGGUGUGUGUCUGGAAGUUUGAGCUCUAAUCGUGGAAAUGGUGGCACACAGAGGCUUCCAUGAGGCCUUUCCUUGCCACCUUUUGGAAUUAGUUGACCCUGUUUCUCCCACGAAAAAGUUGCACCACAAAAAGGUGGAAAUGGUUGCAAAGUGAUGGUGUGAAUUCCAAGUCCUCAGAAAUUCUUGUCAUGCUCUUGACCCAUAUUAAACGGCUUCCUUCGACUUGGCUCAACCUUGAAAGAUCAACGUCGAGUUUCGGAACCAUUAUACAACGGUCUUUUUAACAAGGAUUAUGGAAAUGAGAGUUCGCCUAUA